Molecule: long non-coding RNA, 267 nt
Filed under: Lathyrus oleraceus (garden pea)
Lineage: Eukaryota; Viridiplantae; Streptophyta; Magnoliopsida; Fabales; Fabaceae
Description: Pisum sativum (pea) long non-coding RNA (PSAT_LNC016654)
Source: RNAcentral
UUUAUCAUAGGUCAAACAAGACCAGAGGAACUUAGACAAAAAAAUUCGUAAUUUCUGAAAAGUCAAAAGCAUUUUUAAACAAUUAAAAAUAUGCACAAAAACAAUUAAAUCAUGAAAAAUAUCAAAAUUAAUCCAAAAAAUAAUUUUAAUUCAGAAAUUUAAAGAGAAAAAUAUUUAAAUUUUUUUGGUGAAAGUCCCAUAUUUUUUGGAUUAAAAAUGAAAUUAAUAGGAAUUAAUCAAAAUAAAAGGAUUAAUGGAAAAAUAAAA